Molecule: non-coding RNA, 46 nt
Organism: Schistosoma mansoni
Lineage: Eukaryota; Metazoa; Platyhelminthes; Trematoda; Strigeidida; Schistosomatidae
Source: Rfam
GCACUACUGAGGAGUCCCACAAUAGGAGGGAACGGCCGUUCAGUGC